RNAcentral lists this ribosomal RNA (301 nucleotides) under uncultured bacterium. RNAcentral describes it as "partial 16S ribosomal RNA". It matches the Rfam family "Bacterial small subunit ribosomal RNA", at positions 509 to 807 of the family's 1533-position model. The record is from RNAcentral.
CAGUCGCCGCGGUAAAACGUAGGUGGCAAGCGUUGUCCGGAAUUAUUGGGCGUAAAGGGCUCGCAGGCGGUUUCUUAAGUCUGAUGUGAAAGCCCCCGGCUCAACCGGGGAGGGUCAUUGGAAACUGGGAAACUUGAGUGCAGAAGAGGAGAGUGGAAUUCCACAUGUAGCGGUGAAAUGCGUAGAGAUGUGGAGGAACACCAGUGGCGAAGGCGACUCUCUGGUCUGUAACUGACGCUGAGGAGCGAAAGCGUGGGGAGCGAACAGGAUUAGAUACCCCCGUAGUCCCUGUCUCUUAUAC